Molecule: ribosomal RNA, 253 nt
Filed under: uncultured bacterium
Lineage: Bacteria
Description: partial 16S ribosomal RNA
Rfam family: Bacterial small subunit ribosomal RNA
Source: RNAcentral
UACAGAGACCCCAAACAUUGUCCGGAUUUAUUGGGCGUAAAGGGUCCGCAGGCGGUUACGUGCGUCACGAGUUAAAUUCCAGGGCUUAACCCUGGACCUGCUUAUGAUACGACGUGACUAGAGACUGGGAGAGGUGAGCGGAAUUACCGGAGUAGUAGUAAAAUGCGUUAAUAUCGGUAAGAACACCAAAUGCGAAGGCAGCUCACUGGAACAGUUCUGACGCUCAGGGACGAAAGCGUGGGGAGCGAAAGGG